UUUCUCCCUGUCAUGAAAGAAUUAAAGACAACAUCUUGGGGCCUGUACACCUUGCAGAGGGCAUUUCCCUCGUGGGUUGGCAGGACUGAGGACCAAGCCAGUCCCCUCUGCCUGGAGUUGGAGUUGCUGGUCCCCUCACAACACAGGGAGCUGUGAGAGGCCAGGUGGCACUGACUAAUCCCUGUAUCUUGGAAGAGCUGGUCUCACUCCACAUGAGACAGGGUCUCUAGAGGCUGUCAUUUCAACAUGGUCCCAGUGGGGAAGGAUGAGCUGUGAACACGGGAUGCAAGUGCGUCAGGGCAAGACAAGCCACGCUCUGCAGAGUCUGCUGGGCCCCACCUGGGGUCCACUGGAGAGGAAGGAGCAC
Molecule: long non-coding RNA, 367 nt
Filed under: Heterocephalus glaber (naked mole-rat)
Lineage: Eukaryota; Metazoa; Chordata; Mammalia; Rodentia; Bathyergidae
Description: lncRNA (ENSHGLG00100049084.1)
Source: RNAcentral